UACGGGAGGCAGCAGUGGGGAAUAUUGCACAAUGGGCGCAAGCCUGAUGCAGCCAUGCCGCGUGUAUGAAGAAGGCCUUCGGGUUGUAAAGUACUUUCAGCGGGGAGGAAGGCGAUGUGGUUAAUAACCGCAUCGAUUGACGUUACCCGCAGAAGAAGCACCGGCUAACUCCGUGCCAGCAGCCGCGGUAAUACGGAGGGUGCAAGCGUUAAUCGGAAUUACUGGGCGUAAAGCGCACGCAGGCGGUCUGUCAAGUCGGAUGUGAAAUCCCCGGGCUUAACCUGGGAACUGCAUUCGAAACUGGCAGGCUAGAGUCUUGUAGAGGGGGUAGAAUUCCAGGUGUAGCGGUGAAAUGCGUAGAGAUCUGGAGGAAUACCGGUGCGAAGGCGGGCCCCUGGGACAAAGACUGACGCUCAGGUGCGAAAGCGUGGGGAGCGAAACAGGAUUAGAUAACC
This 455-nucleotide ribosomal RNA is filed under the name uncultured bacterium. RNAcentral describes it as "bacterial SSU rRNA". It matches the Rfam family "Bacterial small subunit ribosomal RNA", at positions 340 to 787 of the family's 1533-position model. The record is from RNAcentral.